GACGAACGCUGGCGGCGUGCUUAACACAUGCAAGUCGAGCGGUAAGGCCCUUUCGGGGGUACACGAGCGGCGAACGGGUAGAGUAACACGUGGGUGGACCUGCCCUCCAGCUCUGGGAGUAAGCCUGGGAAACCGGGUACUAAUACCGGAUAUGACUCCAUGACGCAUGUUGGUGGGGUGGAAAGCCUUGUGCGGCUGAGGAUGGG
RNAcentral lists this ribosomal RNA (206 nucleotides) under uncultured bacterium. Its description in RNAcentral is "partial 16S ribosomal RNA". It matches the Rfam family "Bacterial small subunit ribosomal RNA", at positions 28 to 229 of the family's 1533-position model. The record is from RNAcentral.